GAAACGCGAUAGUUAAUGUGAAUUGCAGAAUUCAGUGAAUCAUCGAGUCUUUGAACGCACAUUGCACCCAUAGGUAUUCCUUUGGGCAUGUCUGUUUGAGCGUCAUUACAACCCUCAGCUAACCGCUGGUUUUGAACCUGAACGGGUGACACCGCGCCGGUUUUAAAGUUGUAAGCUCUGCUGGCCGCUCUGCCCAACCAGAACAUAGUAAGCACUACUUGUCCGGGUGAAGCUGAACGGUACGGCCUGAACAAAACCUACCCACUCUCAAGGUUUGACCUCAGAUCAGACAAGGAUACCCGCUGAACUUAAGC
RNAcentral lists this unclassified non-coding RNA (314 nucleotides) under plant metagenome. RNAcentral's name for it is "partial contains 5.8S ribosomal RNA, internal transcribed spacer 2, and large subunit ribosomal RNA". The stretch from base 1 to 105 matches the Rfam family "5.8S ribosomal RNA", at positions 50 to 154 of the family's 154-position model. The record is from RNAcentral.